Molecule: ribosomal RNA, 404 nt
Filed under: Verrucomicrobiota bacterium
Lineage: Bacteria; Pseudomonadati; Verrucomicrobiota
Description: Verrucomicrobia bacterium partial 16S ribosomal RNA
Rfam family: Bacterial small subunit ribosomal RNA
Source: RNAcentral
UGGGGAAUAUUGCACAAUGGGGGAAACCCUGAUGCAGCGACGCCGCGUGAGCGAUGAAGGCUUUCGAGUCGUAAAGCUCUGUCCUAUGGGAAGAUAAUGACGGUACCAUAGAAGAAAGCCCCGGCUAAUUACGUGCCAGCAGCCGCGGUAAUACGUAAGGGGCGAGCGUUGUCCGGAAUUAUUGGGCGUAAAGAGUGCGUAGGCGGCAAAUUAAGUCAGAUGUGAAAACUAAGGGCUCAACCCAUAGAUUGCAUCUGAAACUGAUAUGCUUGAGUCAAGGAGAGGAAAGUGGAAUUCCUAGUGUAGCGGUGGAAUGCGUAGAUAUUAGGAAGAACACCGGUGGCGAAGGCGACUUUCUGGACGACAACUGACGCUUAGGCGCGAAAGCGUGGGGAGCAAACAGG